UACGAAGGGUGCAAACGUUGCUCGGAAUUAUUGGGCGUAAAGCGCACGCAGGCGGUUUCGUACGUCUGGAGUGACAGUUCCCGGCUCAACUGGGAAAGGUCUUCGGAAACGGCGAGACUUGAGGGCUUCAGAGGGACACGGAAUUCCGGGUGGAGUGGUGAAAUGCGUAGAGAUCCGGAGGAACACCAAUGGCGAAGGCAGUGUCCUGGGAAGCAUCUGACGCUCAGGUGCGAAAGCUAGGGGAGCGAACAGG
Molecule: ribosomal RNA, 253 nt
Filed under: uncultured bacterium
Lineage: Bacteria
Description: partial 16S ribosomal RNA
Rfam family: Bacterial small subunit ribosomal RNA
Source: RNAcentral